This 310-nucleotide ribosomal RNA is filed under the name uncultured eukaryote. Its description in RNAcentral is "partial 18S ribosomal RNA". The stretch from base 54 to 294 matches the Rfam family "Eukaryotic small subunit ribosomal RNA", at positions 734 to 974 of the family's 1831-position model. The record is from RNAcentral.
CACUGGCCUAUACAAUCAUUGUUGCGGUUAAGAGGCUCGUAGUUGGAUUGAACUUUUUUUAUAUAAAUACAACACUGUGAACAAAUCAGAGUGUACAAAACAUGUCUUUUGUUGAGUGCAUUGAAUGAUUCAUCAUGGAAUGUUGCUUAUAUAUUUAUUGCGAAUCUAUGUAUUCGUGGACAAUAUUGUCGAUGAGGGCAGCUGGAGCCAAGAGUACUGCUGGGCGAGCGGUGAAAUGCGUGGACCCUAGUAAGACUACCAGGAGCGAAAGCGCUUGGCUAGGCUAUCCCUUUGGUUUACUCUUUUACAA